Molecule: transfer RNA, 72 nt
Filed under: Amphiura sp. CZ-2022
Lineage: Eukaryota; Metazoa; Echinodermata; Ophiuroidea; Amphilepidida; Amphiuridae
Description: tRNA-Met
Source: RNAcentral
UGUAGGGUAAGUUAAUUAAAACUUUUGGGCUCAUGAUUCAAAUAUAGGGGCGGGAAUCCUCUUCCUACUUUG